Long non-coding RNA from Marmota monax (woodchuck), 5490 nucleotides. RefSeq lists it as uncharacterized. NCBI's taxonomy places the organism in Eukaryota, Metazoa, Chordata, Mammalia, Rodentia, Sciuridae. The transcript is spliced from 4 exons. The record is from RefSeq and is a predicted model, not a curated record.
UCCCUAUAACUUCAAUGGGAAAGUCUCAAUUUCAUUACUUAAAUUCCUUGGGGAUGGGGAUAUGAAGUAGUUCAUGCUCCAGGUCUGAUCCCUUUGUGAGGACCCCCCAGGAGGCACCUGCCUGGCCUGUGGGAUCUUGGGGACUUCCUCUGGGCUCAUUUUCCUUUCAGGCUGGCCCUGGGGGGUGCCUGUGACGGCAGAACUCCACCUCUUGCUCUGUGCCCAGGUGACCCUGCUCCUGCUGCAGUUAUUACCAGAUGAAACCUGAGGGAGGAAGGCCAGGUAGUUCCCAAACGUCACGAGGCCCCAGGUGACUCAGCAAGCCAUGUGUUGAGGACUCACCGUGAGCUGGAAUCCCUGCUAGGCCCUGGGUGUAGACAGAGUGAGAAUGGAUCCAAGAGGCAAGGGUGGAACUGGUGAGACUAGUUGGGAGUUUUGCAGAAAUCCAGACCCUGGGAAUGAUUCUCACCACUGCAUCCCCAGCCGCCGGUACCAUGCCCAACGGACAGAAGCAAAUAUUCAGUAAAUAUUAGCCGAAAUGGCACUUUGUUUCUAGUUUGGGAAUAGCACUAACACAGCAACAAUCAUCUGUGUACCUAGAGGCUUCUGUUGAAUGAUUCCCGAAGACAGAUCUUUUCAAACUUGCUCAUCAAAGUUCUCACGGCAGCAAUAGAAAUUGAACACUUGGGGGCAGGCAUGAGGGGGGGCUGUCAAUGGUGGCUACAAAAUACACAAGUAUUUAAAUAUAAUUAAAAUGAUGUGGUCCAGGAAAAUGUUUGUAAUUACAGUAUUACGUCUUUUCUAUUGACUUUGGCACAUCCCUGAAGAGAGUAGUGCCUCACUUUGGUCUACACAACAGGUUCAAGAUGCAUUGAAUUGUCUUUCCCAAACAUGCUGGAGUCCUGAUCACCAGGACCCAUGACGACAACCCAAUGUAGAAAUAGGGUUUUUUCAGAUGAGCCAGUUAAGAUGAGGUCAGAAGGUAGUCCCCAACCCAAUAUCUGUCCUUAUAAUGUAGGGACAUUUGGAUACAAAGACAGGUGACUAGCAGGGAAGACACCAUGUGUACCUAAAGGCAGAGAUCUGGUGUAGCACCUGCUGUGGGAGGCUGAACUAGCCCUUGACUGGGUCUGACUCCCCUGCUGAGUGAUGUGGCAUCUGGCGGCCAUGCUGCUGGAUAGCCCCGGUCUUCUAGGAUUCCAGUGACUGUGUCUCGUGCAUGGGUGUGCCUUCCUUUAGCCCCAUGGGUCGAGCUACGCUCACCUGUUCCUUUGUGAUAUUGCCCUGCUUGGGAUAGAAUGUUCCAUGGAAGUCCCCUUCUCUUACUCUGCCCUUGGAUGUGGCCUUCCUAGAUGUCAGUCAAGCUGCUGACUUCAGACAUCAUGAAACUGGACUCAGCCCCUUGAAACCUGACCCCUUGCCUCAUUUGAAUGGCUUCUCCUCAAUAAAAGGGAUCAGCACAUGCUUCCUCUCUCUUUCUUUCUGUAGACUCUUAGGGUCAGAGGAGCCGUUACAGCACCCCCCAAAGAAAAAGGUAUCUCUGUCUCUUGUGUGGUUAUUUCCUGCAGCCCAGUUCCCCUGGAGUGACCCUGAGUGUUUUAGUUGAGAGCAACCUGGCAACCUGCAGGUCAAGAUAGGCCAAAGUCCACCAGCAAAUGCCCAGAAGCUGGGAGAGGAGGCCUAGAGGAUACCAACCCUGCUAAUACCUUGAUCUAGGACUUCUGACCUCCAUACCAUGAGACACAUUUCUGGAGUCAAACCAUUCAGUCUGUGGCACUUCACUAUGGCAGCUAGGUAAGCAAACUUGUACAGAUGUUGUGCAAUAAACUGUUUUUUUUUUUUCCUCCCAACCUAGUGGGUGUCCAAUGACUCCUUAAUCCUGAUUUGAUUUUUUUUUUUUAUUACAUAACUUGAGAGAAUGAAUGCUUGCCCGGGAGUCUGUUUGCUUAUUGAACUCUUGCUUGUCUGUGUAUGUCCUGAGGUGGGGUCUUGCUCCCACUUGGGAGGUGCCUGGAUUAGUCUGUGCUCAUUUGAUGAAGUAAAAGAUUAAUUAACAACCUAAUUGAAUUUUAUUUCAUGGAACAUCUGUCCAAUUAAGUCUGACCAAAGAAAAUAUGGUCUUUAAUACUUACAUUUCCCGUCAGCACCUAUGACUCCUUUUAAUUUGCUGAAACAAGGGCUUUGAGGCAAUUCUGCAGGGAUCAUUAUUUUACUCUCACCACCUAGACAGGUCUGCUCAGAAAUACUCAUUGUUUUCUAACAGGUAUGAGGAGGAAUUCACUCACUUCCUACUUCCGGGCUCAGGAGUGCUUGCACAUAGUAGGGCUUCAUACAAGAUGGAGAAAUGAGCCUCGGAUAAUAAGUGACACCAAUAACCAGUUAUCAUGUGGGGGUCUGAGGAGGCCUUUCCAGAGACUGAGGAGAAAAGAAGGUUCAGAAAAGAGUUUAAGGACGUCAGAUCUGAGAAACAGAGCAGAGAUUCAUUGUGAAGGGGAGGUUCACAUACCUGGGGGGCGGGCAAUCUCAAGAGCAGGGUACUCCUCCAGGGCUGGCAACCAGGCAACUGUUAGGGUUCAUGAUUAGGUAGAAUAUGUAUGACCCAAGAGGCGGGACUUCCUUAGGGGUUGGAAACUAUCGGGCAAGAUUGUGUUUCACCGUUAGGGGGUCUGGUAUGUAGGUUUCAGUUUAUAUCAACAUCUCUGGCUGUCAGGUGAUGAAUCCAGUGAUGUGGCCACAGGGUCAUGGUCCAAUCAAACAUUGGCCCCUGGCCUCACGAGAUUAAUGGUCUUUUUCUAUCCAGGACUUGUUUCUGUUUUGCUACAUUCCACAAAACUUAUGGGGAACUGGAAAGUUACAAAGUAAUUUAUGAGCUGUUCUGUGCAUCCUUACAUUCUGGCCCUUUCUGUCCCUUAGGUUCCUUUGUCCAGCUCACAAACUGUUACGAGUUGUUUGUUCUUGUAUUUUAAUAGGGAUAUUUUUCUUCAGAAACUCAGUGUUCCUUGAAUUUGUAUUUGUAUCCCUAUAUCCCUGAAUUUAUACCUUAGAUCUACUUCUAAGAAUGUGAAAUGUCUGAAAACCAAUCCUAUGAUGAGUCCCGGUACUAAGGCUACUUGCUACAACAGAUAAAACUUCAAGUCUCAAGUUUGUAUCUCACAGGGUCUGAUGUGGGUCAGAUGGCCAGCCUUUCUUGCAGCUAGAGGGUUUGUCUAAGGAGGAUGAGUGAGGAGGGGUCCUUCAGGGCAGAGAAAGAGGGAGCUGGAGGAGUCCCAUUUGCUCUUACCUGGUUCAGCCUGGAAAUAGAAGCUGGUGGCCGAUGCUCACAUUUCAUUGGCCAGCACUAGUCACAUGACCCCAUUCUAACUGGGGCAGGGUGUGCCCAGCAGGUCUUGGAAGAGUUCAAGUGUGUCUCUGUUGAAGUUUAACAGAAAAGUACCUGGGCCCGUGAAUGGGUUCAUGCAAAUGCAAGGGUAUUCAUGAGGGAAAUCUUUUUAAAAAGUAGCCUUGAAAAAAAAAAUCAGAGUUUUUACGGUAGAGAUUUGGAAACAGUCCACAUCUCCCAUGGAGGCAACCCUCAUGUUCCCCUUUUGGAGGACAGAAAAGGAGAUAAAUGAACUGAAACCUCUCCCACCCUGCUGCUGCCCCUGCCAACUGGAAACCAGAACGGAGCCUCAAGGCAGAAAACAAAGUAUAUUCCUGCACGUUUGUGCAGUCGCUUUGACAGGUGUUCACCUUUGUGUGACUGCAUUGGAGUGUGGGUGAGGUUAGCACUCGAGGCCCCAAACUCUGAUUUGUGAGUUUCCUACAACUUUCUUUAUCCCACAGGGGCUUCAUGUCAGAGGCACCUGGGUUCCAGAACAGAAAAGUGAAAGGUUGGUCUGCUAUUGAGGUGCUGGGACUCUCCCCGAGGGAGCCAGGGUGCCUGGGCAGAGUCUGAGAAUCACCAGUGAGGAGGGUCCUUGGCAGGUAGAAGCAUUUCUCUGGAGGUGACUCUUGGCAUGAAGGAAAGGUUUUCUGGUUCUGAGUGUCAGGCUUCUUUGUAACACCCACUUGGCACCAAGGGAAGACCCAGGAUGCCAAUUCUAAGGCUUUUCCAAACCUGCCUUCCUUCUCUUUGAAAUAAAUGGCAAGUAUUGAUCAGCAAAACCUUGCUGUUUUUCGCUUAAGGCCUUCAGUCAUUUCUAAUUAUGGAUCUGCCCUGGACAUUUUUUUCAAACUCAUUUUACCAGGAAGUUGGUCUGGACAAGAGUUGCAGGGGCGAGGUCUCGCUGCACUGGCUUUGUGCCAAAUACGCUCCUGAUGUGCUUUACCAGCGCUAUCAGGCGAGGCAUUUUCAAGCCUUGAGUUUGAAAAGUGAUAGAAUCGGCCUGUUUCACAAUUUUAUCCCAAGGCGAAGACGCAUAAAACUAACAGUGAUAAGAAUUUUUGUUACUUAAAUGUCUGUCUGUGUGGCUGGCACUGUGCUAGAUGCUUUAUAUGUGUUAUUUCUAAACUUUAAAAAGGACUGCAAUCGUGCCCAUUGGAUAAGUAAGAAAAAUUGGAACUUGGGAGGGUUUACAUAUAUGUCACUAGCUUGAAGUUAUAUACUUAGCAAGUGGCGGAGUCAGUUUACAAAGUCACAGGUCAGUAGUGGAUUUAUAAUGCAGGCCCCUGUUUUCCAGAUGAGGAAGGAGCUGCAGGGAGGUUGUGGGACCCUCCCAAAGUGACUCAGUUUAUUAGUGACAAGUCAUAACCCAAACCUGGGGUUCAUGAUUCAGUCAGUGGUCUGCUCUGUGUUACCCAAUGCACAUUUACCCUGGAUGCCCUUAUCUUUAGACCAGAAGAGAAGUCAGGGACUGGCCACCACUAGGUAGGUUCAGGGCGAGUGCUGGUCACAGGCAGGAUUAGAGGGUUGAGACUUUCACCUUUACCCCAACCCCAACCUCUGAACUGAGCCGUGGCGAGUGCUGUGAUCACGCAUGCCUAAGCAAUGAAGCCUCCCUGAAGACCCCAGAGGGUGGGUUUGGGGAGCUCCUGUGCAGCUGAGCACACACAAGCUCUGUGGCCUGCCGCAGUCUGGCUGGGCACAAUCAGGAGCCACUUGUCAAAAGAAACUAACUUUAUUUUUAGAACCACACACGACAAACAAAAUAGUCUCUCAGGAAAAACCCUCAGAGCCUCAACUGCCACCACCGGCUUUCCCCAAGCCUCUCUCUCCCACCAAGCUUCUCUCCACCUCCCACAAUCCUCCUGCUCUUGAGGCCGAUUGGCUGGGUCACGUGGGCGGAGCCAAAAAAGUCCCCCAAUGAGCAGCUCCGUGGUCUGAAAGGGCAGGGAAACAGUCCAAUGAGCAUCACCGCAGAGGAGCCAAUCAGCUAGAUGUUGCUGGGGCCGCUGUGAGCCAAUCAUCAGCCAGCAGCUGGAAGUUUGCUGGCAGCUGGAAGUUUGCUGGGGCCCCUUUGGCUGUGGCUCUCAACAGUGGCCCUCCCGGCAGACCCCGCCCUGGGCUUCUCC